This is a long non-coding RNA of Haplochromis burtoni (Burton's mouthbrooder), 1834 nucleotides long. RefSeq lists it as uncharacterized. The record is from RefSeq and is a predicted model, not a curated record. The transcript is spliced from 5 exons. NCBI's taxonomy places the organism in Eukaryota, Metazoa, Chordata, Actinopteri, Cichliformes, Cichlidae.
UUUUCACAUGAGAUACAUAUUAUUUCAAAACCUGCAGCUAUAAACCUGCUGUCUGAAGAGUGCCGUUUAUAUUUAAUUGCAUUUUAACUAAUAAACAUUUACAGGCAAGAUCAUUCUGUAAUUUUAAAACAAUCGGUGGAAAAUGCUUGACACCAGUCGGGUUUUCUGCUUUGUACUGUACCAUGGCUGCAGUUCGGAGUCUCACUUCGUUUAUUUACGUUUUGCUUCCAGUGCACCUGAGACAUGCACAAUGGCACUGUUAGAUUUACCUCCCAAGAAAUCAACAUUAUCGAAGCAGCCUGAGACUAUCUUGUUAGAGAAUGGAACAAAAAGUGGCCAACAUUCACAGAAGAGUGCUUUUCCUUUAUUUUAAUGACAUGGACUAAUUAUGUCUGAAAUAAAAUAAGAUCAAUGAUCUUCCUGGACAAGAAAACUGCUUAAAAGAGCAACAGCCUGUGCUGAAGAAGGUGCUCAUACCUGAUACUGACUUGCAAGGUUUUCAGAAUUGUACAAUCUGUACUCUCUACUACUACACAGUAAAAAAUGGAGUGUCAAUAUUUCAGAGUAAACCUAUUUUAACCUAGAUAGAGUAUUUACAACUCUAUGAGGAGUAAACCAGCUCUAACAUCAGAGUUAAAAGUCAGUGUAAAGUUUGUUAGUCACGCAGUGAAGACUUCACUCCACACAGUGUUGGUUAUUACCAGUCCGCAGGCGUGUGCGGCCUCAGAGCUCUAAUGCGCAGGGAAUUUUCUCCGAAGAGCUGCCACAGUCAGGUAAGUGAAGUUAACAUUCCCAGACUGGUAACAUUGUUUAAAAGGUAUUUUUAAACUAAGUAGCUGUUUAUAGUUUCACUGAUGUCGAGUGAGGACAUGUUAGCAGCAUUUACCCAUAGGUUUAAUGGCAUUCCAGUAGCUACAUGCUAGCAGUUGCUAAAAGUUCAGAUGUUCGUUAUCUUCUCACUGCGUUAAUAUGAACCUAAAACAUUUUAACUAUGUAUUUCUGCUGUCUAAAUAAUAUCAUUGUCACAUGUCAAAUCGCACAGUUUAAACAACUAAAUUACCAUUUAUCAGUAAGCUAAUAAUCGCUAAUUAGCUUACAUAAGCGAACAUACUUUCAGAAAAAGUGGGUAACAUUACCAUAAAGUUAACUUUAUUAGUUUAUAUUAUUUUAAGCAAAUGCCAAAGGCAUACACUACUUUAGAGUUUUGCUCAUUAUUUAGUAAGAAAUAUGUAUUUUGUGUAAAUUAACUGAUAGCAAUGUUAAUGACAUGUUAAGUAAUAUUAAGUAAUGUUUCUAUUUUAUAGAAAGGUUUAAGAGUACGCAAAAACCAAAUCUCUGAGAGAUGCAACCAGAAGACGGAUGAGAAACAUACUUGAGGCUGAGAUGACAGAAUAACAUGGGACAUCUCCCCCUAAAAGCGUAAGAGUGAUGUAUGCGCAGGGCAUUGUUGCUCUGUCUCCAUAUCUGGAAGACCCAUAUUCACAACAUGGACAUAAACAUUACUACGAUCCAGAGAGCAGUUCAGGAUACAUUGCAUGGCGGUUGAAGACCAUUCAAAGAAAAGCUGUGGAGGAAAGAAGCGUCUCAGUUUGCAAAUCGCCCAAAAAUAGAACAAGAUUUCCGACUCCUGUUUUGUGAGGUCACUGGGAGCAAAUUCUUGGAGAGGUGGCCCAUCAAUCUCAAAGCAAAGGCUGUAAAGGAAAGUCAUGGACUUGUCCCCACCUCAGAGCUCUUGGAGUUAAUGUGCAAUGCUGAGUCAGGCUGGGACAGUGACUUGUCUACUAUCUUGCUGCUGCUACAUCUGCUACCACCAUCUGCACAAGGGCGAAAGAGA